RNAcentral lists this ribosomal RNA (627 nucleotides) under uncultured archaeon. RNAcentral describes it as "bacterial SSU rRNA". It matches the Rfam family "Archaeal small subunit ribosomal RNA", at positions 4 to 636 of the family's 1478-position model. The record is from RNAcentral.
CCGGUUGAUCCUGCCGGAGGUUACUGCUAUCGAGGUUCGACUAAGCCAUGCGAGUCGAAUGUAGCAAUACAUGGCGUACUGCUCAGUAACACGUGGACAACCUACCCUCCGGACGGGUAUAAACCCGGGAAACUGGGUAUAAUCCCCGAUAGAUCUCGAUCGCUGGAAUGCCCCGAGAUCGAAAGCUCCGGCGCCAGAGGAUGGGUCUGCGGCCUAUCAGGUAGUAGUGGGUGUAGCGUACCUACUAGCCUACGACGGGUACGGGUUGUGAGAGCAAGAGCCCGGAGAUGGAUUCUGAGACACGAAUCCAGGCCCUACGGGGUGCAGCAGGCGCGAAAACUUUACAAUGCCGGCAACGGCGAUAAGGGGACCUCGAGUGCCAGGUUACAAAUCUGGCUGUCGUGAUGCCUAAAAAGCAUUGCAUAGCAAGGGCCGGGCAAGACCGGUGCCAGCCGCCGCGGUAACACCGGCGGCUCGAGUGGUAACCGUUAUUAUUGGGUCUAAAGGGUCUGUAGCCGGCCGGAUAAGUCUCUUGAGAAAUCCAGCAGCUCAACUGUUGGGAUUUCACGAGAUACUGUUCUGCUCUAGGCCGGGAGAUGUGACACAGACUUCCGGUUUAGUUUCUGC